CAUGAUAUAUUGAUAUCACACUAUGAUUUCACAAAAUCAUGAUACCACACAACCAUAGUGCAAAAUCAAGAUAUCAUGAUCUCAUGAUUGUGUGGCAUCAUGAUUUCAUGAAAUCAUAGUGUGAUAUCAAUAUAUCAU
Molecule: microRNA precursor, 138 nt
Filed under: Podarcis lilfordi (Lilford's wall lizard)
Lineage: Eukaryota; Metazoa; Chordata; Lepidosauria; Squamata; Lacertidae
Source: RNAcentral